GACGAACGCUGGCGGCGUGCUUAACACAUGCAAGUCGAACGAAGAGCGAUGGAGGCUUGCUUCUAUCAAUCUUAGUGGCGAACGGGUGAGUAACGCGUAAUCAACCUGCCCUUCAGAGGGGGACAACAGUUGGAAACGACUGCUAAUACCGCAUACGAUCUAAUCUCGGCAUCGAGGAUAGAUGAAAGGUGGCCUCUACAUGUAAGCCAUCACUGAAGGAGGGGAUUGCGUCUGAUUAGCUAGUUGGAGGGGUAACGGCCCACCAAGGCGAUGAUCAGUAGCCGGUCUGAGAGGAUGAACGGCCACAUUGGGACUGAGACACGGCCCAGACUCCUACGGGAGGCAGCAGUGGGGAAUCUUCCGCAAUGGACGAAAGUCUGACGGAGCAACGCCGCGUGAGUGAUGACGGCCUUCGGGUUGUAAAGCUCUGUUAAUCGGGACGAAAGGCCUUCUUGCGAAUAGUGAGAAGGAUUGACGGUACCGGAAUAGAAAGCCACGGCUAACUACGUG
This 510-nucleotide ribosomal RNA is filed under the name uncultured bacterium. RNAcentral's name for it is "partial 16S ribosomal RNA". It matches the Rfam family "Bacterial small subunit ribosomal RNA", at positions 28 to 507 of the family's 1533-position model. The record is from RNAcentral.